GCCCUGCUAGGUCAGCUGGUUAGAGCGUCGUACUAAUAGAACUCUCUUAAAGAGGUUCCAUAAGGUUCAUGCGAAGGUCAACAGUUCAAUCCUGUUGUGGGGCA
This is a non-coding RNA of Rhypophila decipiens, 104 nucleotides long. Lineage: Eukaryota; Fungi; Ascomycota; Sordariomycetes; Sordariales; Naviculisporaceae. The record is from the annotation of a GenBank genome assembly.